This 253-nucleotide ribosomal RNA is filed under the name uncultured bacterium. Its description in RNAcentral is "partial 16S ribosomal RNA". It matches the Rfam family "Bacterial small subunit ribosomal RNA", at positions 524 to 776 of the family's 1533-position model. The record is from RNAcentral.
UACGAAGGGUGCAAGCGUUACUCGGAAUUACUGGGCGUAAAGCGUGCGUAGGCGGUUUGUUAAGUCCGCUGUGAAAGCCCUGGGCUCAACCUGGGAAUUGCAGUGGAUACUGGCAAGCUAGAGUGCGGUAGAGGAUGGUGGAAUUCCCGGUGUAGCGGUGAAAUGCGUAGAGAUCGGGAGGAACACCUGUGGCGAAGGCGGCAUCCUGGACCGACAUUGACGCUGAGGAGCGAAAGCUAGGGGAGCAAACGGG